RNAcentral lists this transfer RNA (74 nucleotides) under Buchnera aphidicola (Cinara piceae). Its description in RNAcentral is "transfer RNA Threonine". It matches the Rfam family "tRNA". Rfam says of the family: Transfer RNA (tRNA) molecules are approximately 80 nucleotides in length. The record is from RNAcentral. Lineage: Bacteria; Pseudomonadati; Pseudomonadota; Gammaproteobacteria; Enterobacterales; Erwiniaceae.
GCUGGUAUAGCUUAGCUUGGUAGAGCACAUUCUUGGUAUGAAUGAGGUCCCUAGUUCAAAUCUAGGUAUCAGCA